GACAAGAGAGAGAGUGAGAAACCAAGAAUCACACCUGAUCAUUCUUUCUUUCCUCUCUUUAUCUUUUUCUUCGGUUGUUCGCCGCCCUUCAGCUCAUCAUCGACUUGUGUGGUUGAUCAUCUCUAAUGAGUUCUUCCUUCUACUGGGCUUCAUCGUCGAUUUCCUCCCCCUCCGAUCCACGUGGCAGCGUCUCCCUCUUCUUUCAUUUUCAGCAUCAUCACUAGUCUACCUGGAAUCUUUCAUUUUCGCUUUUCUUUUCUUCCUUGGCUGCGUGGAUUGUGAUAUCAGUUGAGAGAUCGUGGGAGAUUUUGUCGAGAAGCUUUGCUAUUUGGACUCGCUGUUGUUGCCGGAGUGGAGACCACUGUCGGUGAAUGCUUGGUCAUGUUCCAUCAUUGAUCGAUCUCUAAUCAUUUGAACUAAGAUUCAUUUAUUCUCCCCUACUCCGUGCUCAUUGAGAACUCGCCAUUGUUGAGGAGGUCUUGAUCUUAUCUCGGUCCCAUCCCAAUUCCUAACGAGAUGAGACGACUUUCAGGACGGGACGAGACAUAAGAAAAAAAAAUUUAGUCCCAAUCUUUUUUUAAGGACGGGACUAGGAUAGGGGUGUCUCGGUCCCAUCCUGUCUCGUGAACACCCUUAUUUGGUUGCUUGGUGAGGUAGGACACAUGCAAUCCAAUGAGAAAGUUGAAAAAUGACAAUUAGGAAUCCUAAAUUAAUGAAAUUUCAACAAUGAACUAAGGUCCUUAAUUGAAAUUAAAACACGAGUUUAAAAUUUUGAAAAGACACUAUUGAAAUUGCUAUUAUAACUUGGGAAUAUUGGUAAUCUUAAUUGGGACAAAUAAGAACUACACUUGAGAAUAGGUUGUUUCUCAUGUGAAACUAAAAUUUACAUACGAAAUUUUUAAAAGGCACUUAUGAAUAUACGAUAUUUACUUGAAAAUUUACCGAUGUCACUUCUGAAUAUGAACCUAAAUUACUUAUGAAUUUUUAUGCUUGUCAAUACAGAGGUAAAUUAUUUGGAAAAUUAAGAAAAGAGAUUAUUGAAAUCACUAUCAUGGGUUGAGACUAUUGUUAAUCUCAAUUAGAAAAUCAAGAUCCAAAGUGUUAUGAGUUGGAGUUAAAAAAAUUACUAUUAUAGGUUGAGAUUAUUGUUAAUCUUAUUUCCAAGUAUGGAUUUUGAUUUUUUUGAACUAAAAUUAACAAUAGUCCUAAUCUAUAAUAAUAAUUUUAGUAGUGGUAUUUCUUUAUUUUAAGUAAGGAUCAUGGUUUGUUAUUGAAAUUUUAAUAAUUUAAGAUUUUUAAUUUUAAUUAAUAAUGGUCUGAUGAAGUUCUUCUUGUCAUUUUUUCUAAACUUUUAUCUUGUAAGUGGCUUGAACAAUGUGGCUUGUACACGAAGCCAUAUGACCUGAAACUUUGGUUUUCUUUUGCUUUUAUCUCACCUUGAUGGAGCAUAUCAAGGAGCUGUAGGUGAGCCGGCAUUUUUGUGGAAUAAAUUUAGGUGAUAUAUUGAUUGAUGAUUUACAUUUUAAAUUCCUCAAUUUACAACUCAAUUGCUUGUUAUUUACUAUUGAACCUAUAGGAUUUGCAAUUUGUUUUAACAUUUUAAAGAUAAUUUACAUUUAUAUAAAAAUAAUUUUUUCAAAGAAAUUUGGCACUUGUCUUAUGAAAUCUGCAACUACUUUUAGGUAUUCCACAACUCAAUUACAUAGAAUAUUUAAACAUGAAUUUUGAGAUAAUUUACAACUUUACAAGCAAAAAAUUUUCAUGAUUAAAUUUUUCACACAAUAGUUGCAGUAAUGAUAAAAGAUAAAAGUUGUGAGCUCGUUGAAGAAUGUCUAGGUAUUUCACUAACUUCGUGCACGUAAGAAUUUAUUAAAUUAUUUUAUUUUUAGAGGUAAAAGGGCCGCAAUUUUAUGUUGAUCAACACUUUAGAUAGUGUUUGAUUGGAAGUUUUGGAAGUUCUCUCUCCUUAUCUGGUUGGUAAAAAUGGAAGGAAGGAUAAAUGAAUACCUUAUUAGCUUUAAAAAUUUAAGAGCUUUCAAAAAAAAAAAAGAGAAAAAACAAAGAGAGAGAGAGGUUCACCUUACCCACCGUUUAAUCCAUUUUCUCCAAAUUAGAGUUUUUAGGAGGAAGAGGAGGGGGGAAAUAUAUAUUGACUAAAUUGACCUUAUUAUAUUUUUGAAAAUUUAAAUUAUUUUUGAUAUUAAAUAAAAAUUAUGUUUGUUCUCCUUCUCUCUCAUUCUGAACUAAAUUUUAUCACAUAAUAAAAUAGGAAAAUUGGCCUAAAAUAUCUGAUCACAAAUUUAAUUGUAGAAAGGAAUGUGGGAAUUGGAGGACUAAGGUCUUGUGGUGACAUUAAAUAGAAUGACUAAAUGACUAAAUUACCUUCACCAAAUUCUCUCCCUCUCUCCUCUUCAGCUUGUCUCGUGCGAUCAAUUUCUCAUAGCAUUCUUGCCAGCCAUGAUUCCAACGGCAAUGGCGACAAUGGUGAGUAAGGUGAGGUCAGUGGUGACUGGUGACGUUCACCCACCCUCCUUCUUUGACUGUUAUCUCAAUUGUGCAUUGCAUAUUAUAAAUCAUAGACGUUAAAGUAUAUUCAUCAGAUUGCCACUCGCCACUUUGUACAUCACCGCUGCUCCUUCCUCUCCAAUCAUCAUCCUUCAUCAACCUCAUUGCUACUAUUAUUUUGUUUUCCUUAGUUCAUGAUCAUCCUUCAUCGACCCUUGAAUGCAAUGAGUCCUGUUAGUGUUUUCAGCUUUUCACAAUGGGGAGGUACGAGUGUUUGAAAGUUGUUUUCAACUUUAAUAGGAAUUGGUAGUUUUCAACUUUUUUUGGUUAGUGGUUUUAGCUUUAGAGUAGUUGGUAUUUUUUGCUCUGUUUGUAAAUUUUGACCUAGAUCUGGGAAUAUAAUUGUUUUUUAGUGAUACUAUUGUUGAAAUAGUCAUAUCUUUUGAUGUCAAUGAGUGGGAGACCAAUAAACAAACACAAUCCUAAAGUAAGAGAAUACCAUCUCUAUUAUCAAUGAUGCACAAACAUUUUGUUGAUAUCAUUGCUAAUUUUGGUCGUCCAUGUAUUUGUUGCAUUGUAAAGGCAUCCUCAAUUGAGAAAGGACUCUUGUGUUUACUAGGUGUAAAGGACAUAGUGCAAAUUCAUUGGCCUUAUAAGCACUAUUUGGUAGCAACUUUCAUGUGGAAUAAUUUCUUUGCCAGUUCUAGUAAACACUGGAUGCGUCCUUAUAAUUGGACUAGUUUCUUAUGAUUCAAUUAACAUGCCCUGGUAAUGAUAAGAAGGCUGAGAUGUUGUAGUAGUGCACACUUCCAUUUAACUUUCCAGUUUCUUACGAUUCAAUUGUUCAAUGGCAUCUUUGUUAACAUUUGUUAUGGGGUAUGGCUUCAUUUUUAUGUUAUGCUCAUGGGUGUUCUACGGUGGUUUCCGUUAAUCCAUUUAUUGAUGUAGGUACACUGAAUGGAUUUGCUGCAAUGCUUGUUUGCUCUUGAUUUUCAAGUUUGUCUAAUCCUCCCCGGCUAUACUUCUCUUUGGUUCCAAGUUGCUUCCAUUCAAUAGUAAUAGUUAAAAUAUUCUAAAUCAUACACAUUCAAUAUAGAAUAUCAAGUAUGAGAGUCAAGUUCAUGCUGUAGACUACUUGAAAUGUGAAUCAUAAUGCCAAUAUCUUUAGGGCAUAUUAAGUUGGGUGAAGUAUUUAUUUUUUAAAGUAUUUUUACCUUGUGCAUUUGUUUAUUUUUUGAAGUAUCUACUUUCCUGUCAUUGAACUUUUACUUGAUAUGAAGGGAUAAGAGUAGGACAUAUUAGAGAGUGCUGAAAAUUAUUGAUUUUCUAGAGCCUUCUGAGCUAAACUUAUGUGAAGAUUCUACAACAGUUACAGAGGAGCAAUGUUUUCAACUUGCUGAAGAUUAUGAUUCUCAUAUUUAUGUAUCUAUCUUCUUGGAAAUGUAUUGGAAAUUGUAGAAGUGGAAUGCAACUGUAGUGGGAUUGUGUCUAUAUACUAUAGGUUUGAAUUAUGAUUCUGGCUUGCUUAAAUGAUUUCUAGUGAUAUUUUAAUUUUAUAUUUUAAUGAA
Molecule: long non-coding RNA, 4073 nt
Organism: Prosopis cineraria
Lineage: Eukaryota; Viridiplantae; Streptophyta; Magnoliopsida; Fabales; Fabaceae
Exons: 4
Source: RefSeq, a predicted model, not a curated record